GCCCGGAUGGCGGAAUUGGUAGACGCAAGGGACUUAAAAUCCCUCGCUCAUUACGAGCGUGCCGGUUCAAUUCCGGCUUCGGGCACCA
RNAcentral lists this transfer RNA (88 nucleotides) under Sulfurospirillum sp. Its description in RNAcentral is "tRNA-Leu". It matches the Rfam family "tRNA". Rfam says of the family: Transfer RNA (tRNA) molecules are approximately 80 nucleotides in length. Their secondary structure includes four short double-helical elements and three loops (D, anti-codon, and T loops). Lineage: Bacteria; Pseudomonadati; Campylobacterota; Epsilonproteobacteria; Campylobacterales; Sulfurospirillaceae. The record is from RNAcentral.